UCAAUUUUUGGUUGCGGGGGAAUUGCAGCUAGCGGAGACAACACAGAAAGAUCAACAAGAGCGAGAAGAAUUAGAAGAACACCAAUUGUUGAUAGUUCCUGAGGCGAAAACCAAUUCUUCUGUUUCAGGUUAAGAUGGGUGUCCCUCUGUUUCAGGUUAUUCUUCACUCUGCGAAACCCUAGUUCCCAAUUCACCCCACGGAGCUCAAAUUCCCCUGAGCAUCUGUCUUGUGAGCACUUUGGCGCCUCUUUGGCAAAUGUUAAGGAACUAAACGCCUGCGAGCAAAGAAAAGAGAUUGUUAGUUUCUUUACAGGCAAUUGAUAAAGUUUAAACGAUGUAUUCAUGCUACCUGAAGGACAACUUAAAAAGAUUGGAGAUAGAGGUUGAUAAAUAUGGAGAGGACUUGUGCAGGGAAAGGAGAAGACUGCUGGAGAUUAAAAGGUGGCAGUUUGCAUAUGUAUCUUGAUUGCUGGAAGAUCCCAGCAAUCUUAUUCCUUUCAAAAAUAGAUGCGAUGUCAGUUGUAUAAUAUAAUAAAGUGAACUCAUGCUAAGGGUUUAAGAUAUGUAACCAGCCAAUCAAGAUCCAAUGUGUUUUAAGUGUAAAA
Molecule: long non-coding RNA, 605 nt
Organism: Rosa rugosa (rugosa rose)
Lineage: Eukaryota; Viridiplantae; Streptophyta; Magnoliopsida; Rosales; Rosaceae
Exons: 4
Source: RefSeq, a predicted model, not a curated record